Molecule: ribosomal RNA, 207 nt
Filed under: uncultured bacterium
Lineage: Bacteria
Description: partial 16S ribosomal RNA
Rfam family: Bacterial small subunit ribosomal RNA
Source: RNAcentral
CAUGUAGGCGGAUUAAUAAGUUUGAAGUGAAAUCCUAUAGCUUAACUAUAGAACUGCUUUGAAAACUGUUAAUCUAGAAUGUGGGAGAGGUAGAUGGAAUCUCUGGUGUAGGGGUAAAAUCCGUAGAGAUCAGAAGGAAUACCGAUUGCGAAGGCGAUCUACUGGAACACUAUUGACGCUGAGAUGCGAAAGCGUGGGGAGCAAACA